Carcharodon carcharias (great white shark) is the source of this 73-nucleotide non-coding RNA. Lineage: Eukaryota; Metazoa; Chordata; Chondrichthyes; Lamniformes; Lamnidae. The record is from the annotation of a RefSeq genome assembly.
GCUCAGUUAGCUCAGUAGGUAGAGCAUGGGACUCUUAAUCCCAACGUUGUGGGUUCUAGCCCCACACUGGGCA